CCUGGUGGCUCAGACGGUAAAGCGUCUGCCUGCAAUGCAGGAGACCUGGGUUCAAUUCCUGGGUCAGGA
This 69-nucleotide transfer RNA is filed under the name Ovis aries (sheep). It matches the Rfam family "tRNA". Rfam says of the family: Transfer RNA (tRNA) molecules are approximately 80 nucleotides in length. Their secondary structure includes four short double-helical elements and three loops (D, anti-codon, and T loops). Lineage: Eukaryota; Metazoa; Chordata; Mammalia; Artiodactyla; Bovidae. The record is from Rfam by way of RNAcentral.